UAAACUCACUAAACGUAUAUUAGUUUGACAUAAAGAAAUGAUUUUAUUAUUCUAAAAUUAUAAUUCUACACUUUGAAAGUUUUAAUUUAUGAUCACAGAUAUACAUGUAUAUAACAAAACUACUAAAAAUAAAUAACUUUUAAAAAUUCCUAAUAAAAAAAAUCUUAAAAAUAAAUUUAUGUCGAUGCAAUUUCAUCGUGUUUAAUCAAACGAAUUCAUGAGAUGACAAAAGUAAACAACGUCAAGAAAAACAUUUAUCAGUACUUCACUCUCCCCAAGCCCCACUUGAACACUUUCGUUGUCAAGCUGUGGUAAGUGGAGUGUUUGUCGUCAAGUCAUUAAAGUUGUUAUAAUGUUUUUAACAGAGACACAAACAUUACAAUAAAAAAAACGUUUAAUAAAAAUAAAUUUGAAUGCAUAAAUCUGUAUGUA
Molecule: long non-coding RNA, 432 nt
Organism: Hydra vulgaris (swiftwater hydra)
Lineage: Eukaryota; Metazoa; Cnidaria; Hydrozoa; Anthoathecata; Hydridae
Source: RefSeq, a predicted model, not a curated record